RNAcentral lists this transfer RNA (77 nucleotides) under Candidatus Oleimmundimicrobium sp. RNAcentral's name for it is "tRNA-Arg". It matches the Rfam family "tRNA". Rfam says of the family: Transfer RNA (tRNA) molecules are approximately 80 nucleotides in length. Their secondary structure includes four short double-helical elements and three loops (D, anti-codon, and T loops). Lineage: Bacteria; Bacillati; Actinomycetota; Candidatus Aquicultoria; Candidatus Subteraquimicrobiales; Candidatus Oleimmundimicrobiaceae. The record is from RNAcentral.
GCGCCUGUAGCUCAAUUGGACAGAGUGUUGGACUACGGAUCCAAAGGUUGCAGGUUCGACUCCUGCCAGGCGCACCA